This 1489-nucleotide ribosomal RNA is filed under the name Lactiplantibacillus plantarum. RNAcentral describes it as "bacterial SSU rRNA". It matches the Rfam family "Bacterial small subunit ribosomal RNA". The record is from RNAcentral. Lineage: Bacteria; Bacillati; Bacillota; Bacilli; Lactobacillales; Lactobacillaceae.
GACGAACGCUGGCGGCGUGCCUAAUACAUGCAAGUCGAACGAACUCUGGUAUUGAUUGGUGCUUGCAUCAUGAUUUACAUUUGAGUGAGUGGCGAACUGGUGAGUAACACGUGGGAAACCUGCCCAGAAGCGGGGGAUAACACCUGGAAACAGAUGCUAAUACCGCAUAACAACUUGGACCGCAUGGUCCGAGUUUGAAAGAUGGCUUCGGCUAUCACUUUUGGAUGGUCCCGCGGCGUAUUAGCUAGAUGGUGGGGUAACGGCUCACCAUGGCAAUGAUACGUAGCCGACCUGAGAGGGUAAUCGGCCACAUUGGGACUGAGACACGGCCCAAACUCCUACGGGAGGCAGCAGUAGGGAAUCUUCCACAAUGGACGAAAGUCUGAUGGAGCAACGCCGCGUGAGUGAAGAAGGGUUUCGGCUCGUAAAACUCUGUUGUUAAAGAAGAACAUAUCUGAGAGUAACUGUUCAGGUAUUGACGGUAUUUAACCAGAAAGCCACGGCUAACUACGUGCCAGCAGCCGCGGUAAUACGUAGGUGGCAAGCGUUGUCCGGAUUUAUUGGGCGUAAAGCAAGCGCAGGCGGUUUUUUAAGUCUGAUGUGAAAGCCUUCGGCUCAACCGAAGAAGUGCAUCGGAAACUGGGAAACUUGAGUGCAGAAGAGGACAGUGGAACUCCAUGUGUAGCGGUGAAAUGCGUAGAUAUAUGGAAGAACACCAGUGGCGAAGGCGGCUGUCUGGUCUGUAACUGACGCUGAGGCUCGAAAGUAUGGGUAGCAAACAGGAUUAGAUACCCUGGUAGUCCAUACCGUAAACGAUGAAUGCUAAGUGUUGGAGGGUUUCCGCCCUUCAGUGCUGCAGCUAACGCAUUAAGCAUUCCGCCUGGGGAGUACGGCCGCAAGGCUGAAACUCAAAGGAAUUGACGGGGGCCCGCACAAGCGGUGGAGCAUGUGGUUUAAUUCGAAGCUACGCGAAGAACCUUACCAGGUCUUGACAUACUAUGCAAAUCUAAGAGAUUAGACGUUCCCUUCGGGGACAUGGAUACAGGUGGUGCAUGGUUGUCGUCAGCUCGUGUCGUGAGAUGUUGGGUUAAGUCCCGCAACGAGCGCAACCCUUAUUAUCAGUUGCCAGCAUUAAGUUGGGCACUCUGGUGAGACUGCCGGUGACAAACCGGAGGAAGGUGGGGAUGACGUCAAAUCAUCAUGCCCCUUAUGACCUGGGCUACACACGUGCUACAAUGGAUGGUACAACGAGUUGCGAACUCGCGAGAGUAAGCUAAUCUCUUAAAGCCAUUCUCAGUUCGGAUUGUAGGCUGCAACUCGCCUACAUGAAGUCGGAAUCGCUAGUAAUCGCGGAUCAGCAUGCCGCGGUGAAUACGUUCCCGGGCCUUGUACACACCGCCCGUCACACCAUGAGAGUUUGUAACACCCAAAGUCGGUGGGGUAACCUUUUAGGAACCAGCCGCCUAAGGUGGGACAGAUGAUUAGGGUG